Portunus trituberculatus (swimming crab) is the source of this 294-nucleotide long non-coding RNA. RefSeq lists it as uncharacterized. Lineage: Eukaryota; Metazoa; Arthropoda; Malacostraca; Decapoda; Portunidae. The record is from RefSeq and is a predicted model, not a curated record. The transcript has 2 exons.
AAUCUAAUUUCUAGAUUGUGUCCUAUUUCUCCAAUCUCUCCACAGGAUCCCCCAAAGCGAAGGUGCCUCUGGCGUGUUACCUCUGCCAACUGGGGGACCUGAGAAGGAUCCCUUAAAGCAGAGGAACCUCUACGCGCUUAGCCACUGCCAGUAGGGGGAUCUGAAGAAGUGUUUCGCUAAAUUUACCUUGAAUGAUUACACCGUGUAACAAAGCUUUUGUCCUUGAGUUGAAACUGUUAUUUCUUAUCUGCUUAUGUCUAGAAAACAUGAAAAUAUAUUUAUAUUCAUUUCUAA